CAGAUUGUGUGUAUCCGCGUUAUUAAUGUGACUGGUGUGUAGACAGUCACACGGCAAAGAACCAGUUCAUCUUUCAGGUAAAGCUGAAUGAAAAACUCCAGAGGACACGACAGCUUUGUGAGCGAUGACGAAGGAGAAGCUGGAGAACAAACUACAGCAGACGGUGUUUUGUUGGUACCAACAUGAAGCUGAGUGCUGAGCAAGUUGCAGCGUCUGCAGCCAGCAGGAGCUCCGAGAGGCUCAGCAUGCCCACAUUCAGCCUCCAAAACAGCCCUGCAUUUUACAGAAAGAGGAGCAUGGACGACAUUCCGGUAUUUUUUUACCUGCAGCACGAACAGCUCAUGGGCUCAACCUUCAGUCUGCAGCCUGCAGUGGAGAAAGUUGUGUGCGUGAGGACCAGCAGUAAGGGAUACACUCCUUGUUUCUAGAUUCUCUCAAUCUCACAGUGAUGCUGUCAGGAAGAAUGAAUCCUUGAAGUGGACCCACUGAGAUUCUUAAUUCCAGUUGAAGCAACCUGCAGCAGAAACAGAAAUCCCAAACCAGAUUUUUGUAUUGAAAUUGUGGUCAUGUUUAAGUCUUUGCACAUAGUUUAGUUUUGAUAUGUAAUCCUGUUUGUGUAUGUUGCCAGUCAUGACACUAACAACACGACAAAGUUGUUAGUUGAUAUUGGUUAGCUUAAUAGAAGCUCAUAGAACUGUAGUAGUUACAUCCAGUAACGUCUCGUUUAUCUGAAAUCUGAUUUUGCUGAUAAGGUAUUGUAGCUGCUUUACCUUUAAAUGAUAUCCGUUAUUUAUCCGUUUGAAUAAUUCUCUGAGAGAUUAUGAGUAGAGGAUUAAGAUUUAGCUCCUUUCUCAUCAUGUUAUUUAUCAUUCAUUUCUUUUCUAUAAAAUAUUGGGGAAACUGCAACGACCCUAGACACCGUUAAACUGAGAAAUUAAAUAUUUAUAUUUAUACAGAACUAAAUUAUCCCGCAUUAGUUUAAAUGAUAUGUUAAAAAAAAGCUGUAUUUUAGAGCCUUCGUCAUUUUAAAUUCAUUUUUGUUUUGCCUUUUUAAUCUGAUCACCAAACAGAUAAAUAUACGUUAUUAGUUUUUUUGUACACCUGUAUACUGUUAAGGUUGAGCAAUUAUUUUACAUUAAGCCUUUUUUUUAAAUCAGAAUUGACUGUUCAUCUUUCAUAACAGAAAAGCAAAAAGGAACCUUGUGUUUUAGGAACAUUGGUGAUAUUAAAGAAUACAUUUUGAAGUUUUCACAUUUAGAAAUACAGAAACCUUGUAAAACCUGGAAAUGUUCUGAUUUUCUAAAAAUAUUUACCAAAUUGUUCCUAAAUAAGCUGCAUUAUGUACCAUUUAUACAACCCUGAAUUUUGUAUUCCCUUUAUGAAUGUUGUAUUGGUCCCUGUGGGAUUGAAAGUGUGACAUCGGGAAAAGAUGUUAUGUUUUUAGUGCCUCUUCUUUCUGUUUCACACAAUGUUUUUACAAUACAUUUGUAAAUAUAA
Long non-coding RNA from Eleginops maclovinus (Patagonian blennie), 1497 nucleotides. RefSeq lists it as uncharacterized. Lineage: Eukaryota; Metazoa; Chordata; Actinopteri; Perciformes; Eleginopidae. The transcript is spliced from 5 exons. The record is from RefSeq and is a predicted model, not a curated record.